RNAcentral lists this ribosomal RNA (460 nucleotides) under uncultured bacterium. RNAcentral's name for it is "partial 16S ribosomal RNA". It matches the Rfam family "Bacterial small subunit ribosomal RNA", at positions 338 to 795 of the family's 1533-position model. The record is from RNAcentral.
CCUACGGGUGGCAGCAGUGAGGAAUAUUGGUCAAUGGGCGCGAGCCUGAACCAGCCAAGUAGCGUGAAGGAUGACUGCCCUACGGGUUGUAAACUUCUUUUAUAAAGGAAUAAAGUGAAGCACGUGUGCAUUUUUGUAUGUACUUUAUGAAUAAGGAUCGGCUAACUCCGUGACAGCAGCCGCGGUAAUACGGAGGAUCCGAGCGUUAUCCGGAUUUAUUGGGUUUAAAGGGAGCGUAGAUGGGUUGUUAAGUCAGUUGUGAAAGUUUGCGGCUCAACCGUAAAAUUGCAAUUGAUACUGGCAGCCUUGAGUACAGUUGAGGUAGGCGGAAUUCGUGGUGUAGCGGUGAAAUGCUGAGAUAUCACGAAGAACUCCGAUGGCGAAGGCAGCUUACUAAACUGCCACUGACAUUGAUGCUCGAAAGUGUGGGUAUCAAACAGGAUUAGAUACCCGUGUAGUC